This 465-nucleotide ribosomal RNA is filed under the name Mya japonica. RNAcentral describes it as "partial 16S ribosomal RNA". It matches the Rfam family "Bacterial large subunit ribosomal RNA", at positions 1850 to 2611 of the family's 2925-position model. The record is from RNAcentral. Lineage: Eukaryota; Metazoa; Mollusca; Bivalvia; Myida; Myidae.
GGGUCGGCCCUGCCCGGUGGGGUGAGCCCUUAACGGCUGCAGUUGGUAGCUGUACUAAGGUAGCGUAAUAAAUUGCCCUUUAAUUGGGGGACGGUAUGAAUGGGUUGACGUGGGAAAAACUGUCUCCUUAACAAUGUUCAAAAUUUUCUUUUUGGUGAAAAGGCCAAAAUAUUUGUAAAAGACGAGAAGACCCCAUGGAGCUUAAUAAAUGUUUGUUUAAUAAACAGACAGGAAGUUUUACUGGGGCAGUAGGGAUAUAAAAUUAACUAUUUAUAAAAUAAUUAAAGGAUCCUCUAAAUAGAGUCAGAUGAAAAAGUUACCCUGGGGAUAACAGCGUUAUCUUCUUUUAGAGGACUAAUCGAAAAGAAGGUUUGCGACCUCGAUGUUGGAUUUGGGUAUCUGUCUGGUUGCAGGAGCUAGAGGAGUAGGACUGUUCGUCCUUUAAAACCCAACAUGAUCUGAGUU